RNAcentral lists this ribosomal RNA (497 nucleotides) under uncultured bacterium. RNAcentral describes it as "partial 16S ribosomal RNA". It matches the Rfam family "Bacterial small subunit ribosomal RNA", at positions 28 to 507 of the family's 1533-position model. The record is from RNAcentral.
GAUGAACGCUGGCGGCGUGCCUAAUACAUGCAAGUCGAGCGAACAGACGAGGAGCUUGCUCCUCUGACGUUAGCGGCGGACGGGUGAGUAACACGUGGAUAACCUACCUAUAAGACUGGGAUAACUUCGGGAAACCGGAGCUAAUACCGGAUAAUAUAUUGAACCGCAUGGUUCAAUAGUGAAAGACGGUUUUGCUGUCACUUAUAGAUGGAUCCGCGCCGCAUUAGCUAGUUGGUAAGGUAACGGCUUACCAAGGCGACGAUGCGUAGCCGACCGGAGAGGGUGAUCGGCCAGCCUGGAACUGAGACACGGUCCAGAUUCCUAAGGGAGGCAGCAGUAGGGAAUCUUCCGCAAUGGGCGAAAGCCUGACGGAACAACGCCGCGUGAGUGAUGAAGGUCUUCGGAUCGUAAAACUCUGUUAUUAGGGACGAACAAAUGUGUAAGUAGCUAUGCACGUCUUGACGGUACCUAGUCAGAAAGCCACGGCUAACUACGUG